GAGUUUGAUCUUGGCUCAGGAUGAACGCUAGCUACAGGCUUAACACCUGCAAGUCGAGGGGCAUCAGGAAGAAAGCUUGCUUUCUUUGCUGGCGACCGGCGCACGGGUGAGUAACACGUAUCCAACCUGCCCUUUACUCGGGGAUAGCCUUUCGAAAGAAAGAUUAAUACCCGAUAGCAUAAUGAUUCCGCAUGGUUUCAUUAUUAAAGGAUUCCGGUAAAGGAUGGGCAUGCGUUCCAUUAGGCAGUUGGCGGGUAACGGCCCACCAAACCGACGAUGGAUAGGGGUUCUGAGAGGAACGGUCCCCCAAUUGGUACUGAGACACGGACCAAACUCCGUACGGGAGGCAGCAGUGAGGAAUAUUGGUCAAGUGGGCGCGAGCCUGAACCAGCCAAGUCGCGUGAGGGAUGAAGGUUCUA
Molecule: ribosomal RNA, 419 nt
Filed under: uncultured bacterium
Lineage: Bacteria
Description: bacterial SSU rRNA
Rfam family: Bacterial small subunit ribosomal RNA
Source: RNAcentral